UUAUUUGGUGUUCCAUGGUAUUCAGCUUUUUAUCACCUAAUAUUUCAGCUCUUCUAUUAUGUCAUAACCUGAUCUGAGUAAUCAUGAUAGGACACCUCAUAUUAUGCACUGCUCCUAGUGACACUCUCCAAUGGAUCCCCAUCCUCCACCCACUGUGAGGUAGGUAGGAGCGGAUUGUUAGCCCUACUUGAAAGAGGAAGAAGCUAAGACUGAGAAAGGAGAAUUGAC
Molecule: long non-coding RNA, 228 nt
Organism: Dermochelys coriacea (leatherback sea turtle)
Lineage: Eukaryota; Metazoa; Chordata; Testudines; Dermochelyidae
Exons: 3
Source: RefSeq, a predicted model, not a curated record